AACAUUAUGAGGAGACCAAGUAUUCAAUCAACUUUGUCGUAAAACUUUCAACUCUGUCCCGAGAUCUGUAGUCCCAUGGGCGAUCAUUUGCACUGUGCCGUUAAAUAUUUACUUCAUUCAACCUCCUGGCAAAGUUUCUGUGUUUAUUAAAGGCUAGCAUGACAAAAUAUAUUUUAUCUUAACAGAACUUACUUAUUUACAAAAUCCCUCUUCUUUUUCGCGUUUAAGAUGACUAAAAAGUAGACUCUACCAGAUCCGAAGGUUGAUAAAAUCUCACUUCGAUCGACUAAACAAUUCGUUGAGAAAAAUGUUCAAAUUUUUCUUCAAUAAGAUAUUUCUAUGAACCAUACGAAGACAUCCAUGAACUAUAUACAUGGCCAUCUGGAGUUACAACUCUGCAAUAAAUAAUAGAUGGGUAAAUGGUAUAACUGAAAUGAUGAAUGUAAGGCUUCCUUGGAUAAGCGUACCAUUUUGUUUACAAUACCUUUAAAAAAGUAAUCGUCCCCCAUACUGGUGACAUUAACUCAAUUUUUCAAUGCUAUUAUAUACUGUACUGACCUUUCAUUUCCAAAGACUCAUACCACCAAACAUCACGAGAUUCUCCUGUGCAUUCGACAGGGAAUUGCAAGUCCCGAUCUGGAGGGAUUUAGAGAGAAGUUUGCGAAUAUUAGCUUUUAUUCAAACCGGCAGUGAAUCUGAGUGAAUCUAGUCUAUGAAAUGAAGUCAUCAGAUCUUCAGCGAGAACUCAAAUGAAAGGGACGGUCAGGGAACAUACGCACCCUCUCCGAAAGGCUCGAAUUAGCAAGAUACUCGAGUGGCCUGCGCAAGAUGAGCCCGAAAGCAAACAUCGAAUGCUAAGAAAUCCCUUGCCGUUCAUACACAUCUAUAUUUAUGGAAUAUUUCCAACGCGUUAAAUGGUCUUUGAAGGGAAAAGUAUACAUGCGGUGCAUGCAAACUUUCAUGCUUGGUUUUCAACGGCCGCCAUCUUUGCUUCGUCAUUAAACGUAUUUUUGUCAAAUGUAAAUUGUAGAGCUGUUGUUCACUUAGAAACUUUCAGUCUCUCUUGACAACUCCUUAAAUUACAACCUCGAACUUGGAAAAAUAAAUCAUCCAAAUCAAGUUGUAUAAAUGUUAGUAUUUUGAUCGGAAUGAGGAGAGAGAGGUUUCGUUAUCUCUCUCUCUCUCUCCCUUAGUUUCAAUUUUCUACCGAACUCGUUUCGCCAAGCUUGAACUGGAAUGAUUUGAGCAUGUAUCUCUAACAAAGACUGCUUUCUUUCUUUGUGAUAAUCUGGAGAAAGGGUUCUCCUGCUGUACAAUAUUAUUACAACAUGUGUGAUGCUGGCUUCGAUUGCGUGCAAAAGCAAACAUGGUGAAGGAUGUACUUUUUAUUUGCGAACUUGAAAUCAUAUCAAGGCUGACAAAAUACAACUACACUUUUGA
Molecule: long non-coding RNA, 1440 nt
Organism: Pocillopora verrucosa
Lineage: Eukaryota; Metazoa; Cnidaria; Anthozoa; Scleractinia; Pocilloporidae
Source: RefSeq, a predicted model, not a curated record